Molecule: long non-coding RNA, 308 nt
Organism: Carassius auratus (goldfish)
Lineage: Eukaryota; Metazoa; Chordata; Actinopteri; Cypriniformes; Cyprinidae
Exons: 3
Source: RefSeq, a predicted model, not a curated record
AAGUCCUGGUACUCAGAUGGCCACUCAUGGUGGCCUCCAUACAAAGACUUGGACCGGUUACUAAAGAGCGUCAGGUUGAUGGAGGCACCACAGCCAGAUAAGGGUUGGACCAAGCAUCAGGCCAGAAUUCUACAUGAGUCGGCAUCAUUUGACAACAUUUCCAAAAAAUGGAAAAGGGCAUGCUACACUUCUGACAUCUCAGAAUCUGAAAAUUCUAUAAAAAGAAUUCACAAAAAGAAAACAUUCUCAUCAGAUGAUGAGCUUCAUGAAACCCCCAACAAAAAAAGUUAAAAUGAAUAGAGACAAAA